GAGUUUGAUCAUGGCUCAGAUUGAACGCUGGCGGCAGGCCUAACACAUGCAAGUCGAGCGGUAGCACAGAGAGCUUGCUCUCGGGUGACGAGCGGCGGACGGGUGAGUAAUGUCUGGGAAACUGCCUGAUGGAGGGGGAUAACUACUGGAAACGGUAGCUAAUACCGCAUAACGUCGCAAGACCAAAGAGGGGGACCUUCGGGCCUCUUGCCAUCAGAUGUGCCCAGAUGGGAUUAGCUAGUAGGUGGGGUAACGGCUCACCUAGGCGACGAUCCCUAGCUGGUCUGAGAGGAUGACCAGCCACACUGGAACUGAGACACGGUCCAGACUCCUACGGGAGGCAGCAGUGGGGAAUAUUGCACAAUGGGCGCAAGCCUGAUGCAGCCAUGCCGCGUGUAUGAAGAAGGCCUUCGGGUUGUAAAGUACUUUCAGCGGGGAGGAAGGUGUUGAGGUUAAUAACCUCAGCAAUUGACGUUACCCGCAGAAGAAGCACCGGCUAACUCCGUGCCAGCAGCCGCGGUAAUACGGAGGGUGCAAGCGUUAAUCGGAAUUACUGGGCGUAAAGCGCACGCAGGCGGUCUGUCAAGUCGGAUGUGAAAUCCCCGGGCUCAACCUGGGAACUGCAUUCGAAACUGGCAGGCUAGAGUCUUGUAGAGGGGGGUAGAAUUCCAGGUGUAGCGGUGAAAUGCGUAGAGAUCUGGAGGAAUACCGGUGGCGAAGGCGGCCCCCUGGACAAAGACUGACGCUCAGGUGCGAAAGCGUGGGGAGCAAACAGGAUUAGAUACCCUGGUAGUCCACGCCGUAAACGAUGUCGACUUGGAGGUUGUGCCCUUGAGGCGUGGCUUCCGGAGCUAACGCGUUAAGUCGACCGCCUGGGGAGUACGGCCGCAAGGUUAAAACUCAAAUGAAUUGACGGGGGCCCGCACAAGCGGUGGAGCAUGUGGUUUAAUUCGAUGCAACGCGAAGAACCUUACCUACUCUUGACAUCCAGAGAACUUUCCAGAGAUGGAUUGGUGCCUUCGGGAACUCUGAGACAGGUGCUGCAUGGCUGUCGUCAGCUCGUGUUGUGAAAUGUUGGGUUAAGUCCCGCAACGAGCGCAACCCUUAUCCUUUGUUGCCAGCGGUUAGGCCGGGAACUCAAAGGAGACUGCCAGUGAUAAACUGGAGGAAGGUGGGGAUGACGUUAAGUCAUCAUGGCCCUUACGAGUAGGGCUACACACGUGCUACAAUGGCGCAUACAAAGAGAAGCGACCUCGCGAGAGCAAGCGGACCUCAUAAAGUGCGUCGUAGUCCGGAUUGGAGUCUGCAACUCGACUCCAUGAAGUCGGAAUCGCUAGUAAUCGUAGAUCAGAAUGCUACGGUGAAUACGU
Molecule: ribosomal RNA, 1370 nt
Filed under: unidentified marine bacterioplankton
Lineage: Bacteria
Description: bacterial SSU rRNA
Rfam family: Bacterial small subunit ribosomal RNA
Source: RNAcentral